RNAcentral lists this unclassified non-coding RNA (235 nucleotides) under uncultured fungus. Its description in RNAcentral is "sequence contains ITS1". The record is from RNAcentral. Lineage: Eukaryota; Fungi.
UAAAAAUUUCGUUUAACAUACGAGACUUCUAGACGAGGCGUGUGUGGAGAUAGAGGGACGGAUCGGACCGACGCUCCCUGAGGAGCUCGGAAAGGUAGAGACCCGACCCCCCGAGUGCACGAGGUGUUUGUUUGAUAGAUGACGGAACGCGAACGUGCACGUGCCCAGAGGGCCAGCACAGAUCGCGAACCGCUUGAAUUCUUCAAUGAUCCUUCCGCAGGUUCACCUACGGAAA